CGGUAUGCUUAACACAUGCAAGUCGAACGGUAACAGGCCUUCGGGCGCUGACGAGUGGCGGACGGGUGAGUAACGCGUAGGAAUCUGCCUCGUAGUGGGGGACAACGUGGGGAAACUCACGCUAAUACCGCAUACGCCCUAAGGGGGAAAGGAGGGGAUCUUCGGACCUUUCGCUAUGAGAUGAGCCUGCGUUAGAUUACCUAGUUGGUAGGGUAAAGGCCUACCAGGGCGACGAUCUAUAGCUGGUCUGAGAGGACGAUCAGCCACACUGGGACUGAGACACGGCCCAAACUCCUACGGGAGGCAGCAGUGGGGAAUAUUGGACAAUGGGCGAAAGCCUGAUCCAGCAAUACCGCGUGUGUGAAGAAGGCCUUAGGGUUGUAAAGCACUUUCAAUUGGG
RNAcentral lists this ribosomal RNA (400 nucleotides) under uncultured bacterium. Its description in RNAcentral is "bacterial SSU rRNA". It matches the Rfam family "Bacterial small subunit ribosomal RNA", at positions 40 to 444 of the family's 1533-position model. The record is from RNAcentral.